AGAAAGCAAGAGAGGAGAUUGAGAGAGGGAGAGGCUGCGAAGGGAAAAGAAAAGAGGUUCUGAAGGAGGAGGAAAGGGGGGACUUGGGGAAAUCUGGGAGAAAGCUUGGGUGCCAAACAAGAGAGAACAGGUUUCGGUAGAGAGCAAAGAAAAAAGAAACCAGGGGAAAAGAUAGAACCAAACGGGGAGCAAAGGAGAACGGAAAGAGAGAGAGGGUUUGGGGAAGAUCAGGGAAGCAAGAAAACUAAGGAGCUUCGGGCCAAGAAAGGAAAAGAAACAAGCAAGGGCAGUGAGGAAAAGGAAGAAAGAGGGUUUCAAGGAAGAAAAAACGCAGGAGGGAAAAGGGAAGAGAGCUGGAGGGAGGAAAAAAAGCUGGUGAGAGCUUCGGGAAAGAUCUGGGGGAAGAUGGAGGGCUUGGAACAAACAAGAAAGAGAGAGAGGGGCAGCGGGCAAAGAAAAAGCAAGAAACAAAAGAAAGGCAAAGAAAAAGAAAGAGAAAAGAGGGUUUUCUGGGAUAGGAAAGGAAGAGAGGAUCGGGGGAGAGUUUAAGAUUGAGGAGAAAGUCGGCGGAGCAAGGAAAAUAGAGAAAAAGAGAAAUCGGGGAAGAAAAAGGAAGAAACAGAAAAAUUUUCUGGGAAAAAUCUGAGGGCCAGGUUGAGCCGUCAGCUUUGUUCAUCGUCAAAUUCCUAUCUUUUUUUGGAGCUCUUGGAGCGGAUUCUUGUUUCUGCACCUUUUGGGGAGGGAUCUGAAUAACUUUUAUUCAGAAACUAUUUGGAAAAAAUGACACCAAGUCUGUUGAAUCGGGCCUCCAAAUUCCAGCUCCACCAUCGCUGAAAUUUCGACGGCAAAGUUCUCUUAAGCUUAGUUUCCAGAAUCGGUGCAAUUUUUGGGAGUAUUUUCAAUUUCGUUUCACUUUACUAAGGUUCUAAGGUAACCACAGCUUCUCCUUUUGUUGUUUUAACACUAGUUUUCAUGAGAAUCCAAGUCCGUAAGACAUGAAUCUUGAGAUAUUUUUUGCUGCUGGUUCGGUGAACAUGCUCCCUGACUUUUAUCAUGUGCUGCUUUCUGAUGUUUCCCCGGUUGUGGGUUUUUUUUUUGUGUUUGUGCAAAUUUUGAUGUUGGGUUCAAAGUAAAAGGUAUAAGUUGCACGUUUUGCUAGUUUGGAAACUGAUUUGCAUGACUUAUCCGUUUGGUAAUGAAACCAGAAAAUUGCAGAAAUUUCUUGCCGAAAAUUUGCAUGCUUGGAUGAUUGAAUUUCCGUGAUUUCGUUGCUUAAGAUCAAAGUUUGAUGUUUGGUUCAGAUUUUAGUUUUGUUUAGCGAAGAGAAACUUGUACACUUGCACUGAAAACUCAGGAAUUUGGAAGAAAGCUUCGUGCGUUCUUAUGUUUUGCUGUUUUUCUUCCCGCGACAGCCCACCAAGUAGGUUUCAUCGCCUGAUGGGUUAUUUAAUCUUGUGCUUGAAAGAAGAAAUUGGGUGAUUGAUGUUGGGGUCGUGUGUUUUUGGUCCAAAGCUACAUAAAUCAGGCUCAAAUGUUUGCUGGGUAGAUAAGUUUCCAUAGAAAACCCAGAAACUGGUGGAAAGUUGUUUUGAAUAAACCUGGAUUUGCAAGCUUCUCCCCACGUUACUGAUUUGCCUCUCUCUUGUGUGCAUAACAUGGUAUCUUGAUGAUGAGCUUAUGAAACUUAAUGGGAACUUGGAGGUUGGAUCUUUGUUGUUGUUAAAUUUUUUUGUUGUUUGGCCGCAUAAGUUUGUUGAAAGGCUUCAGAAGUUGCAGGAAAGUUUCAGAAGAAGAAAUCUCCAUCGCAGCUUGCAUGCAAAUAAAACAAAAUUGCAUUUUAACCCCUCAAGUUUCCCUUUGUUUCAUUCUGGCCCAAAAAUAUGGAAAAAUCAAUCAUUUUACCAUUGUUGAAACUCAAUCAUUUUUCCAUGGUCCAACCAUGUUGUAGGCAAGUUUAUUUCCUGGUUUUAGGAGACAAUUAGAGUUUAAUUAGUUUUUAGAGCUUUUAUUUUGCUUUGAUUCGACCACUCAAACUUUUUUUAAUUAGUUCAAUUAGGGCCUUGAUUGUUUUAAAUUCUUGAAUAUAGGUUGUUUACUUUCAUUUAAAUGCCUUGAUUGAUUAUUUCAUCUCUUAUGAUUAUUUGUUAAUUAAAGUGAUGCCUUGACUUUUUUUUUUUUUUGUUUUGGAGGGUAAAUAAGAAAAAUUUCAUUUCAUUAGGUCACCAGUUCAAGAGAGGUAUACUCUACUCCUUUAUUUUGGUUUUACUUGUUCCUAUGUGCUCCUAUGUGACUUUAUUUGUGUAAUUGCAUGCUUUUUUGAAUGUUUUUUAUUCCAUCUAUUUAUUUAUUCAUUUCAUUUGUUUUAAUUUUGUAUGUUUAUUUUUAUUUAAUUUUUGUUAUUUGAGAGGCAUUUAAAUGCCAAAUUGUAAUAGUUAGGUUAUUAUUUCAUUUCAUUUCAUUCUUUCCCUUUUUAGAUUGUAGUUAGGGCCCUCCCAAAUGUAACAGUUAGAUCUUUAUUCGCUUUAUUUGCUUUGUGUGUUUUGCAUGCUUGUGUGUUUACGUGUUAUUUACUUUCUUAGGGGUUUGCAUCUAGAUAUCAUGCUUAUGUGCUAUGUGUUUUAUGUGAUAUUAUGUGUUUACUUACUUUCCUUAUAUUUUAUAUGAUUUAUUUGAUUAUAAUAAAUGUAUGACAUCACUACACUAGUCCAACGCUAGUUGUGACCCUUUUUUUCCAUUUUCUCGCUAGUCCAAUGCUAGUGGGAACUCAUAGACAUGGGAUAGUCCAACGUUAGACCCUUAGGGACCAUCCGCAUACUUGAUCACGUAUGUGUGACAAUCACUAUAUUUUCAUACAUAUUUUCUACUUUUUGGGGUUUCUUUUAUUAUUUUGCAUGACAUUUUCCUAUAUGUACAUCUCUUAUCCCAUAUUCCCCCUAUAUGUAUAUCCCUUAUCCCAUAUUCCCCCUAUAUGUGUAUCCCUUAUCCCAUAUUUUUCCUAUAUAUAUAUAUCCCUUGUCAUCAUGUGUGAAACAUGACAUGGAGACUUACAUUCCAUUUAAGAAAAUUAGAACUAGGUUAGAUCAUUUGCUUGAUUAGAUAGGAGAAGUACCAUUCGAAUAUAGGAUAUGGACGAGUAUGGCUUUCUAACUUUAACACGCUCGUAUUUCCUCUAUUAAAGGAAAAAUUAAAGUCACGAAUAUUAGUUCCCAGCACGCAUUAUGAUGCAUUCCUUUAGGUCAUGUAUAUUUGUAUAUUAUUAUUCUUUUUCUUUCUUUCGAGUCUCAUAUUUGCAAAUUUCGUGACCUCUUCAAGGAGUCACUUUUGGGCGUCGCAAUUAAUGCGAUUUGCACCAAUCAAGUUUUGAAGAGACAUAUUGACUCUUCCAUUAGGUCUAGGUUUGCAUUUAUAUAGUAACAUCCAAAUGUGAUAAGUUUUAGGUUAAAGUAAGAAAUUUUUGACUAAAUCACGCAACUAGUUUUAGCUAGAUUGAAAGGGUGCACUGGAUUUUAUCAUUGCCUUUCCUUUCUUCAACCGUGACUCCCGACCCCUUUUCUCUUGAUUUUCGCAAAUUUGGAGUCGUUUAAAAAGAGUUUUUCUACUUUUUUAUUUAAAAUUUAUUUUAGGUGACUUGGUACACCAUAACUCAAUACCAAGUGGCGAUUCCUAUUUUUCAUUAAAACCCUUUUUAAACUAUUAUUUUGGGCCAAAAUCGUAGCAUUUUUAAGUCCCAUUUAGGCCCUUUUUCUUUUUCUUUAUUUUCUAAAAAUCCAAAACUCAUUUUCCAAUCAAAAUCAAUCAAAAAUUCAUCUUUUACAAACUUGUAAAUUAUUUAUUAUUUAUUUUUUAAAAAUGGGGCGCAACAAUUUGGCGACUCCACUGGGGACGUAAAGGGUCUGAGCAUUUGAUUUAGUCAAUUUUUUUUCUUAUUCUAACCUUCUUAUAUAUCAAAUUUGGAGGUUUUUAGGUUGCAUUUUUUCCUUUUAGGGUUUUUCCAUCUACCAUGCGCGUAAUCGCUCCUCGCACACCGCAUAUGUGAUGAAUGGAUUGUUUAUUUGCUUUUACUUGUAUCGCGCUUGCAUCUUGGGGGGGUAGCCACCCUAGAACCUUCGCCCGCAUUUGAUGGCAUUAAAAUCCCUACUCUCAAAAGAAAGCACCUCAUACGUGCAUGCAUUACUUUUACCCUGUUUUUUCUUUUUCGUGGGCGCUUCUCACAUUUCGUUAUAGGAUUAGGAUCGAUUUCCUUAGGUAGACGGAUAGUGUGCUCUGCACCCAUAGUGAUGCCUAAGGGAUCACUUAAGCCACCGACCAAAGGCCCUGGGAUUGAUGACUUUUCACCUUUUGGUUUGAAGGUUUGGGAGUCUAAAAGCAUAUCGAGCUUAGAUGCAUUAGUAAGUCAAACUUCAUGCAUCCAUAUUAGAAAUAACCUAGGAUAGAGUCAACCUUACCCAACUACGAACACUAAGCAUGAGGGGGGGGGAUUCCAGCCCUCUUUCCUUAUUUUUCUUUUACUUUUUAUAUCAUUUAAUUGCUACAACAUGUUAUGUGUUGAACUAACAUUUCCUUAUUUUUUCGUCUUUUGCAUUUACAAACGCUAGAAAAUCAGAGAUUUGGCAUGAUCCUCUUUUAGAACCUACCCUCUUAGAUUGGUUAUUGCAUGUUUAAAUUCUGAUGUAUUGCAUUCAUAGGUUAAUAAUUGCACAUCAUUUUAGACUCAUCUUGGCAUACAAAGGGUCCCUUUUGGUCAUGUUUUCAUUUCAAAUUGCAUAUUUAAUUGCUCUAAUAAAUUGGCAUCAUGCAUAAAUCUUAGAGGGAAUGCCAUUUAGAGAAUCCCGUGUUAGAAAUAAACCACCUUGUGUCUCGGAUAUGUAAUUCAAUGAGAUUUGCACGUCUAUAUUUCUUGUACCAUCCAAAGGGGUAGUGCAACGAGGUAAGGUAGGAUCCGAUCUUUUCGAAAAUGAUAGAGCAACUUUUGCAUAUUAGAAUAUGAGCAUCUAACAAUCAUAUUUUCGCCAUUUUAUCAGAAUUGGUAAAAUCUUUUGCGUAAAGGACAUUAAGUUGAAAAAAUUCACAAAAAAUCCCUCAUUGUUGAGACGAUAAAUAUAUCGAGACCAAAUCUUGAUUUUAUAAUGCUCAUAGACUAAUGCAUCACAAUGAAUUUUUUGAAAUUAUCAAUGGAUAGACAAUUCAAUGAAUUUUUGAAUAAACCAUCAAUCCAUUUGAACAAUUUAUUCAUCAAUUUCAUCCAAUCAAUUUUAUCAAUUCAUUCAUUUUUAGGACAAUCCAGUCAAUUUUGAAUAAAUCAUCAAUUUCAUUCAAUUCAUUUGAUCAGUUUACCCAUUUUAGGGUGAUCCAGUCAAUUUUGAAUAAAUCAUCAAUUUCAUCUAGUUCAUUUGACCAAUUUACCCAUUUUUAAGAUGAUCCAGUCAAUUUUGAAUAAAUCAUCAAUUUCAUCCAAUUCAUUUGAUCAAUUUGCCCAUUUUUAGGGUGAUACAGUCAAUUUUAAAUAAAUCAUCAAUUUCAUUUAAUCCAUUUGACCAGUUUAUCCAUUUUUUGGGCAAUUCAGCAAAGUUCAUCAAUUUCAUCCGAUCUAUUUGACCCAUUUAAACUAGUCGAGACGUUGCAAUUCUUUCAAGAGUAGGCUCUUUCACACAUCACUUUAUGUGUUAAUCAAAAUAAUCAAUCCAUUCGGACUUUGUUCUCAUUUUGUUGGGACAAAUGUCUUUUCUCACUCCAAUUAGCCAAAUUCUUCAAAUUGCUUUUCACUUGAAUAUCAAUAAGUUGAUCGGAUUCAUCAGGUAUUGUAUGUGCCUACCCUAGAGGAUUGCAUUCUCAUGUUAGACCUACCCUUGGCACAAAAAGGGCUCCCCCAAUAGGACAUGCAUCCGAAUUACUUUAAUUUUUUACUAACUCCCGUCUUUUUCUUUUUCUUUCUUUCUUCGUUUUGUCAACAGCUGGUCAAGAGAGGAAUUUAAAUAGGGUUUUUCUUAAAUUUUCAGGUAACUGCAAAUAUAGCUACACAAAGAAACUCCAUCAUUACACGAUCACGUAGCCGAGUUUUAAAAAAUAGUGUAAACAUGAGUGCACAUCCGGAAUCAUCAGACAGGUCCACUACGACACCUACAGCCGACACUGCAAAUUUAGGAGUUCAAUUGAGCGAGAUGUUAAACAAAUUCAAUGAAUUGAGCGAGGAAAUAACAACUCAAAGGCGCAUAAUUGAUCAACUGAACUGGUUGCUAGCAGUGGCGGUAUCCAACAUGAUCUCAUGCCUAUCAGCCAACCUGAAAUAGAACACCAACCACCUCCUCUGUCCUAUACCCAAGUUACCUUUACACCGUUCUUUGCAAACAUACCCGAAGAGACUUUCACCUACCCCGUUUCCAAUUUUCAAUAUACUUACCCCCAUAACAUCCAAGUCAAUCCGGUCAGCAUUCAAAUGCCUCAGAAUUACCCAGAUUCUCAAGUACCUCAUCACACCACCACUGAGCCAUUCACGUUAGAUGUUUUUUUUUUUUUUUGUCAAAAGUCAUUCAUUUAUAUCAUCAGAUGAUUGACACCUACAAGUACAUGUACAUUUUAGCUGGCAACUGCCAGACGAUCACUUUGUGCAGCCAUAGAGGUCCACACGUUAGAUGUUGCUAUGCAAGGGAAGGUGGAAACGGGUGAAUCCUCCGCCCCGAUAGACAAAAAUCUGUUGAAAAGAUUGGAUAAAUUUGAUAAAUUUAGGAGAAAAAGCCAAGGAUUGAGCAAGCCUGGAGGUUUGGAUUAUGAUGAGUUGUGUCUUUUCCCAGACAUGCAAUUGCCUUUGGGUUUUAAAAUACCCAAAUUUAGUAAGUAUGAUGGAACUGGUAACCCCAAAAUACAUUUAAGACUAUUUGCAAAUAAGUUGGGAAAGCCAGUAGAUGAUGAAAGUUUGCCAAUACGUUUAUUCCUAGAGAGCUUGGAAAGCGAUACCCUGGAUUGGUAUUUCAAUUUAAAGCCUGAAAAAAUGAGAACAUGGUUGGAUUUGUCAACUGCUUUUGUGAGACAAUACGAGUACAAUUGUGAACUUGUUCCAACGAGCACCACGCUUGAAGGGACUAAAAGGAAGCCAUCCGAGAAUCACAAGACAUAUGCAAAGUGAUGGUGAAUAUUGGCAGCCAAGGUGGAACCUCCGAUGACAGAAGAGAAAAUUGUCCGUACAUUUAUUAAGGCACAUGAUCCACUAUAUUUUGAGGAGAUUUUUCGCAUGACCAGGCGUUUAUUUGCGGCAAUUAGCAAUAAGUUAGAGGAAUAUGAUGAAUAUGUCAGGGCAGGUAUGGCAUAAUAAAAUUGUCAAUAAGUGUAAUUUUUUGGAUCAUUGAGUACUACUAUCUUGGAUAGGUAUGGCAUAAUUUCCUUAUACAUGUGAAACCUACUCUCGUAGUGAAUCAACUAUACUUAUAACUAACUCAUACAUACUCUCGUGGUUAUGAAAUUAGUUGCAAGCUCAUUACUUAUAUGAAAUUACAUAAAAUGAAUCACUAAAGCUAUAAAGGUGUACCUCUACUCUCGUGAGUGUACUUCUUAGGUUUAAUACUUCUUGAACUAGUGUUAAAUCUCAAUUUUCAUUGCAAACUUAACACCUUAAGAUUAUCACAAUUAAUGGCCAGUUAAUCAUGACUAGAGGAGCAAAAGAGUUAAAUAACUUGCUCAAAAUAAUAACAUCAAAUAACCAAGAAAUCAACACAAUACAAUCAUAGAAAGUUCAACCAAAACCCAAGGCAUGCAUAAACUUUAGAAACACAUAUUGAAACACAAAUCCAAAACUUGCAUAUUAACCAUAUUUAAGAAUCCAAUACAAAAGAUAAAGAGUUGGAGAAGAGAUAACCCUUGUUACAUGAGUUUCAACCCCUACUUCUUCAUUUCCAUUUUCAUUUUGGUGUAGCCAGUAUACAAGAGUGGAUAACAAACAUUACUACCUAAACUAUUCUAUACUAUACUAACCUAAAACUAAGAAAGUGUAUAAGAGCUACAUUUUUGUGGUGUAUUCUUGCACUCUCCCCAAGCUCUCUAAAAUGGAGGACACAAGCUCUUAUUUAUAGAGAAAUCUUUCCUUUUUACGUCUUCCUUCAAGUGUGAACAUUGGUUUCAAAUGUUAACAAUUUUGGCUCAAGCUAAAGCUCAUCAUUAUAGAAGAAAUAAAGUCCAGAUUUGUUGUUAGAAUCUUCAUUUUACAACUGCAAAUCUUCCACAAAUUAUCCCUUAAAAGUUGUGAAAGAAUAGAGUUGGAAAUAAGUUGCGCAAGUGGAAGCGGUCAUUGUUGAUUGGAAUCCCUCUAAGCAAUCCCUCCAGAAUCUGGUCGGGUUCCUUGGAGGGAUUCCUCCCCUAUUUUUGUUAAAAUUUCGAUUCUUCAAUUUAACUCCAUGCCACUAAUUCUCCAAGCAAUCCCUUCAAAAACUGGUCGGGUUGUUAGGAGGGAUUCGAGUCGACUUUCAUUUUCAACAAAUUUCUUCAUUUUCUUUUUCUAAUGACUCGAACCACAUUUGAAACUCGUCAUCCCUGUGAACUUUAGGACUUCAAUCAUCAUAAUGUAAGUUUAUUUCUUGUCUAAAAUUAAGUCCAUUUCCAGCUCCUACAAAAAAAAUAUCAAAAAUAUGCAAGUAAAAGGGACAAAUAUUUCAUUUAAGCACUAAGCAGCAUUUAGAACUAAUUCUAGCCAAAAUGGACCAUUUUCUUCUUAUAAUAUUGCAAAAGUGACUAAAAGUAAUAUAAAAUGUCAUCCAAAUAUAGCAUAAAAUAGUCACUUAUCAGUAUGCUUUUAGGGUUUGUAUUGAAUUGAGAGGGAAUAUACAACUGUGCACUAGAUAGAUAAACAUAUUUAUUCUAAUCACGAGAGUUGGUUAGAUUUUGUAUGAUGUAAUUAAAAUCAUCUAAGAUUUUAAAAGGUUUAAUUAAAUGCUUACGAUUUCAAGAAAGAUAUGAGAUUUAAUUAGAAAAAAUUUAGUUGUAUUGAGGGAUAAUAUAAAGCACCUUUGUGUGAUAUGGUAUUGACUUGUUAAGAAAUUAACUGGAUAAUUAAUUCAAACUGUGGAUCAAAAUUUGAAACCCUAGUCUAUUGCCAAUCGUUUUCUCAACUUUAUUUUAUUUUAUUUGAUUAUUUACUUUAUUUCUUAAUUAGAGAUCAAAACCCCUUUAACUUUGAAUUUUAUUGUAAACUAUAAUAAAUAAAGUAGGAUAAAUUAAUGGGUAAAUUACAUUUUACCCCCCUGUGGUUUACCCUUUUUUUACAUAACCCUCUUAUGGUUUCAAAAGCUAUACAUAACCCCCUCAUGGUUUGGAUUAAAGUGUCAAGGUAACGGAAAUAGCCACUCGUAACGGAACUUCUAAAAAUGUCAAAAUUACCCUUAUAAAUACAUGACACAUCAACCCCGUAUGAUUUUUAUAUUUUACCAUAUAACCCCCCUAUGGUUUAAUACUUUAUCAUAUAACCCCCUUAUGAUUUUCAAAAUAUACACAUAACCCCCCUUGGUUAAUACAUAAAUUUCAACUUUACAUAAGGGUAUUUUUGACAUUUUAGGUGAUGCCGUUACGAGUGACUAUUUCCGUUACUUUGACACUUUAAUCCAAAGCAUAAGGGGGUUAUAUAUAGCUUUUGAAACCAUAGGGGGGUUAUGUGAAAAAACGCUAAACCACAGGGGGGUAAAGUGGAAUUUGCCCUAAAUUAAUUCCACCCUGUGGAUUCGACCUCUGGAAUACUCCAAGUGAUUUUAUCACUAUGAUCAACAUUGUGCGCUUGCAAAAAUGGCUGAUGUAACUACAUCAGCCUAACAAUUGUAGAAAAUUUUGUAGAAAAUUUUGUGGUAGAUGUAAAUACAUAUAUGUGGUUUUUUUUGGGGGGUAAGCCUUUUUUUUUUGAAAACUUUUUUGGGUAAGCCUAACAUUGAGCUUUGUUUGCCAUGCAUAAUCUUCAUAUAUGACAAUUAAUUUAUGUUGACCAAAAUGCUGGGUGAAAUUGAAACUUUCUUCAAAGGAUGAGGCAAGAAUAGCAAAAGUUGAGUUUCCAAACCACCUCGUCAAAUUUCAUAACUAUCUAUCAAUAUAUUGUCUAAAUAAAAGUGUGACGAGUCGCAGAAAUGUUAGCACAUUUUGAUAUUUCAUUUCAAAUUUACCCGUUGAUGAUGAUUCGAUAGUUUGUGUGACAUCAGUUUUUGAUCAAUUGCCGAUUGUCUAAAUGGAUGAACGUUACAUUUCAUAGUUUACUCUUUAUUUGUUUUCUAAAAAAUUAUGUUCAUAUAUUGCAGUUUUAACAUUUGAUAUAUCGUUAAAUCAUUGUUCCGAGAAUUGUACCUAUCAUCUUCCGCAUUAUUUUAUCCUUGUCAAGUGUGAUUUAGUAGAAAAAUCAUUAUUUUAUCCGCAUUAUAUUUCCAGAAUGUGCUUGCGAUUUGCACUUUUUCUCCCUUCAUCCUUCCUUGUCCUAAUCUAUAGACUGUGACGGGGUUGUUCGUUUUCCUAAAUCAUUUAAGAGUACUGAAUUUAACCGUCUAUGGAGAAAAAAAAAAUCGAGCAUGCAUUAAAAGUAAAACUAAAAAUAGACCACUGAUAUGGAUCUCAAGUUUUCUCAUCAUUAAUAUACAUAUCACUUCUACAUGGAUCUCCAUGGAAAAAAUUCCACAGAUUCAUUAAUUUUUCUAUAAAUUUAGAAAUUUACACUUAUCAAACGUUAAUUAAGGUUGCGUAGGAAGUAAUUAAGGAAAGAUUGCAAAGAAUAAUUAAGCAUUAUAAAUUUUAUUAAAAUAAUAAUUAUUUAACAUGAUAAUUGUCACAUCUUUACUCCAUAAAAAUGAGAAAAGAAAACUGUAAACCACAUCAUCAAUCUACAUAGGAGGAGAUACAAUGGUGUUGAGAAAACUGAUAUAUACUGUUUUUCCUAAAGAUAAGUACAAGGGCAACACUAAGAAUUGUACCAAAUGUUGCAUAUUGUCCAAAAUGAAGAUGAAAAAUUAUUGGUCAGCACUAUCAGAGUUUGGGCUUAUGUUUUUAGAAAAAAUCUUGAAUAAGACAAUAAUUCUCCUACAACUUGUUAUAAUUAGAUAAAUGUGCAUACUGCUUGGAUUUACUCCAUAGAAAGAAUUUUUUUUUUUUUAAAAAGGGAACUGGAGAACAUUAUACCAUUAAUUCAAAGCAUAGCUUGGGACCUUAAUCAAUUAAUUUAUUGAAGACAAGAUAAAGAAAUAGGUAAUUCAAAAAUUAAUCUGGUCGGAUAUGAUGCAAUACAUAUGAACACUGUUAUAACUUAUGUCGUGCAUGUCAAAAAUCAACAACUCAUGAAAACAUUUAUGCUGAGACAAUAAUAGAAAUAUGGACUUAGAUUCUUAAAGCACCAAAUUCUUUUUUAUUUAUUUAUAACUAUAUACUUGAAUUAACAGCUGUUUUUGGAAUCCAGGACUGCACAAAUUGAACAAAGAUUUCUUUCACAACAUUAACAAUUGCUACCUAAAUUGUGUCAUAUAUUCUGUAAUUUCACUCCAUUGAAUCCACUUUUCACUGCAUUAUAUAAACAUACUUUAGUAUCUAAAGGGGAUAACAAACUGGUGGAACUUGACCAGUACAUUUUUAGAAUGAGGGGAAAAACAUAAUUUGUAUACAUAAAGUUAAUUUAUAUGAUGCUCAGCUGAAAAACUCGUGAAAAACUGGAAGAUUGAGCUGGAAAUGUUGAGAGACAGCCGCUGGAAUUUUCCAGCUUCACCCGAGAGAAGAAAUAAAGAAUUUUCCAGCUUUCUUUAUGGAUUCUGGUUCCAAACUUCUACAUUAAGGCAUAAUUUGUUACAGAAUACUUUAGUCUUAACAUGCAGGUCAGAUUUGAGUGUGUAAUGAAGAGAUUAAUGGAGAAAUUUCUUGUUUAAAAGCUGACUGCUGCUGAAAUUUUUCAGCAUGGUCGAGAGAAGGAAAUAGAAUUUUAUCCAGCUUUCCCUUUGAAUCUUUGGCUGUAAAUUUCAUAUUGUUGCAUAAGAUACACCGUAGCAUGAUAACUACACUCUGCAUGUUGAGUUGGAGUGAAAAAAAAAAUGAAGAAAUUGUGGAGAAAGUUUUGUGUUUAAAGUGCCAAAUUGCUGGAAGAGUAUAUCCUAGCUGAUGACAGAUUUGUGGUGGCUUCUUGAUGGAAUAAUUUGCUGGAAUUACCUGUUAUUUGUUUCAUUUCAUGUUGGACAGAAUGUGUGUUGUGUGUUUGGUGUUUUAGGCAAGUAAAAGAUGGAAACUUUGCUGAAAAUUUUGAAAUAAUAUUGCUGGAAAAUUCUGUUUUGCUGGCCGAGAGAGAGAGGGGUUGGAACUCUCAUAUUAUUUUCGAAAAUUUCAUGAUAAUUGGCUACAAUCUUGAGUAAAACAUUUUAUAAUAUCUUGUCCCUGUUUCCAUGUACAUAUUAUUGAUUUCUAACACUUGAAAGCUGGUGAAUUUGAGCAAGUUUAAACCACAAGCAAACUAGAAUCUGGUUUAGCCAAAAAGGAAGAAAUGAAAAGUUCACUAGCCUUAAUCUUUGAAUUUUGGGUUGAAAGUAGUUUAACCUUAGUUUAAACACCUUACAAGACCUUGAAUUUGGUAUACAUGAAUAUUUCCCUUGUUUGAGUUGAUAAAUUUGAUGAAUCUUGAAGAGAAAUGUGAGGAAGGUUGCUGGAAUUGUUGCAUCUUGUGUGAUGAGCUAAGGGACUUGAGUUCUAGUAAUUUAAACCUUAAAUUGGUGAGUGAUUAGCAGUCGGACAUAAAGAUAAAUGGAUGAGAAAAGUAGUUAUAUCAACUAUAGGGAUCGAAAAGGCUAUAAAACUUUUAUGAAAAGAUAUACAAAUAAAACAUGAUUUAAACCGCUUUAUAAGCAUUAUAUGUUCACCGUUAAGGUAAUAAACUAGUUUUGCUCAAGAUUUUAAGUAAUAAAUGAGACUUAUGGGACAAUAAAAUACCUUAAAAGUAAUUACUUCUAAAAUUUACCUUAUUAAAAAUGGAUGUUGAGUUUUAGUAUAUUAAAUCUAAAGGUAUAGAAGAGUGGUUAAAUAAUUAUAGUAUUUAUAAACUUGUCUCAGGGGACAGCGGUGAGCCAAGAAGCAACUCCGACAUUCAAGCAUAACUUGUAUUGAUUAGGGUGAGUGAACUAAAUUGUUUGUACUUGUUUAUUUGAAGGAUUACUUGUGCAUUGGUAAAUGAAGUGAUAUGAAUGAAUGAAAUGAAAUUUUACUUGGUUUUGAAUUACUGAUAAAAGGCUAGAGCGUACUUUACCGCUACUGCCCUAAUGAACUGAAAUGUAUAUCGAAGUGAUUAUUGACUGGAUUGUGCAUGAAUAAUUGUAGGCCGUUGUGUACUUUACCACAUCGGCCGAAUUGGGUCCUAAGCCUUGGUUAGUUGAUCUAGUCGGGCCGGUAAAGGACUUGGUCGACCAGGUUAGCAACCUUGAGCAAUUGAAUGGUAUACUCGAGUAUUACCCUGCAGUUUGGAGAUUAUUGAACUGAUUAAUGAAUGUAAGGAUUGUUUAUUGUUUUGUAGAAUAUAAGGGGGUGAUUGUGGUGGAGUGUGCAGUAAUAUGUACCAAAUUUAAAUAUUAUCUCUUCAUUUUGUAUUUAUUAAUAAAGAGAUAAUAUCAAUGAAUAGUUUCUUCACUGGCUAGAUUUAUAGGGGCAUAUAACAUAGCACCAUUUAAUUGGACAAACUAUUGUAGUAUAUAAAACAUAUAUAUGGAUUAAAUAACUCUAAAUAUUAUUUCUUUAAUAAAGAAAUAAUAUAUUUAUCCAUAAUUUUACCAAAUCAUAGAAACAUGUGGCAUGGCAUAAUUUGAUUAGCAAAGAUAUUCCGACAAUUUUAAUUGGUCGCAACACCUUAUUUUGACAUGUGGAGAGACAUGAUUGGCUACCAAAUAGCCAAGCUUCCAAAUGUGCAUGACGUAUUGUGAGAACUUAAAAAUUUUCACAUUUUCUUAGCAUUAUUUUAUUUCUUUGCUUCCAUUUUAUAUUUUCCUUUAAUAUGUUAAUUUCCUAUAUAUUUUUAUAAGUGAAAAUAGUUUUUAAAUUAUUUUCUUAGUAUAAGUUAGUGUACGUUAAAUUUGAAAUGUAUUAUAGAUGUGGGACCUGCUAGUGCGAUAAAAUUUUGGUGAUUAAGUGAUUUUUGUGCUAAGUAUUAUUAUUUUACAAGGUACUAGGUGAUAAUUAGGGAUUAGUUAGGAAGAUUAGUAUUGGAAGACAAUAAGAUAAGGAUUAAUCUUGGCUAACCACUUGUCUUAAAUUUAUUGGACCUUUGACUUGGACCAAGGACUUUCUUACCUCUUGAAUAAAAUCAAAAUUUGACCAACAUUUUCUUCAUUUAGAGCUUCCCUUGGCUGACCCUCUUGAGGAGAAAAACAAGGAGAGAAACUUCAAUUUCUACUUCACUUUCUAACUUGAAUCUUGAGUUGUAGCCAACCAAAAUUGAAACUACACCAUACAAGCGCUUAUUAAGGAAGGUUGAAGGAGUUGGUGGGGUGAUUGUGGGAGGAAAGAUACUAAGCUACCAUUUUUCUUGAGUUUUCUAGGUAUUUUGCCAAGACCCUCUUCUUUACUUCAAUUAAUUGCUAAUUAGUGGUUUAAAGUUGUAGUUUUGGUAGUUAUGAGCACAUUUCAUAGUUGGAAGUAGUAUUAUGGAAAUUCCAGGUUAGGAUUUUGAAUGACCCUGUUCUGUCUGGUUUUAUUUGUGCAUUUUAGAGGCCGAAUCAGACUUAGGUUAAAACAUGAAAGUUGUAGAGAAUGAAUUUUAUAUUUACUUACAAAAUUUCAGCCCAAUCGGAGCAAUGUAGCCUAUGAAAAGACUGAAAUACCCCUGCUGCCCUGUUUCUAUCCGAAAUUGAUAAUCAACUUUCGUAAUUGGUUAGUUUGACUGGGAAUACUACUGAUUUGAUUGUCGAUGUCUUCUUAACAUUUAUAGUCUGGUAUCUUAGCUUUCAGAUGGAUUUGGAAUCACUUGAAUUGGAGUCUUAUGUGCUGAGAUAUGAUUGAAUGAAUCAGGACUGCUAGUUGAAUUUCACAGUGAAUUUCGUACUGGAAAAUCUGGGGUUGUUUUCGUAAAUUUGACCGAGUUAAGGUGAGAACUGGACUGAGUGGUUUUCAUGAAAGUUGUAGGUUUUUGUCUCAGAUUCGAAAUGGUAUAAAUUUCACCCCAAUCCGAUAAGCGUAGUUUCAGUUAUGUCCGAUACGCUAUGUAGCGGUGAAUCUGCCUUUUUGGUUUCUUGGCUUAAAGCUCAUUUCCGGUUAUUUUCCUAGCUAAAUCUUGUACUUGAAUGAAUUUGAGCCUAUUGAACGGCUGUUGUGAUGACUUUGGGAUUGAUUGAGGAAAAUAAUGAAGCCAUAAGUGGUUGGAAAAUAGGUAAAUACAAAGGGCGUGCUGCCCAAAUUUACACUCGAAAAUUAGGUAACGAUUUGAGAGCGAGCAUAAGUUUUCCAAAUAUUUUACUCAUGUCCUUUGGUUUACAUGUACUCUUUUCACUUCCAAAACUAUAUUUAUACUUUGUACAAGUAAAUAUUCGAAUUUUUUUCGGUUUACCUAAACUUUGAGGGUUUAAUUGUAAUAUUUUCUCUUUGUUAUUAUUAGGGUUUGUUUAGGUUCCUUUUCAUUUGAUUAUACCCAAGACACUUGUUAUACGUUAUUUCUUUGCAUAUGAGUUAGUUUCGGACCAAACGAAGAGCUUUACGAAUUUGAGCAACUGUCUUUUCAUAUCCGGCCGUAUUUUGACGUGGCACUAUUAAUUUAUUUUUAAUGGAAUUUUCUAAAACCCUUUUGGGUAUGAUUUUGUGUUUGAUUUGGAAAAACUCCUAGUUACUAAUGUCCUCUAAUCUAAAUAUAUAUUUUUCACCGUAAACCUCAUAUUUAUGUAUCGCACUAGUACGUAUUUGGAUUUUUUUGAAUCACUUAGGUUUUGCUGGUUGAAGCAUAAUGUGAUCUUUUGAUUACUAUUAGGGUUUAUUGGUGAUUGAGGGUGUUAUCCAGAGGGAUAUUUUGGACGUUAUUUUACGUAAAGAGGUGAGUGUUCCUUGUUUGUUAUAAUUUCCUUGAUUUCAUGGCUUGUUGUUGCUGUUUGAUAAUGUGUUAAGUGCUUUCAAUGAUUUCCAAAAUGAGUUUCUAGGCGUGUGUGUACUAUAUCGCACUCGACUUAAAUAAAUGUGAAAUUUUCAAUGAUUAAAUAAUUAAAUGCUAGUUGCGCAUGAAUGUAAGCCGUUUGGCUGAAUUGGGGCCUUGCCCUCUAUUACCUAUCGACUCGAGCCAGAAGCGGACUCGGUUGGGCGAUUUGGUGACGUUGGACGAAAGUUUGGUAUACUCGAGUAUUACCUUGUUGUCAGGUGGAGCCUGACCAACGUCCAGGAGGGGGUGAAUGAAAUGAACGAACGAAUGUCAAUGAAAAUGAGGGGUUUUACUUACAAAAUGCAUUUUCAAAUGAUGGGAGAAAUAAGGGGAAUGACAGGAGAACGAAUGAACGAACGAAUAAAUGACUCCCUGUGAGCCCGUAUCCUUUUAAUGAAUGUGUUAUUAUCGCUUUCCAUUGUAAAUGUUUCUUGAAUUAUUGAUACCCUAUGUUUAAUGUAUUGAAUUGAUUGUUUGAUUAUGUGUUUGGAACCUCACUGAGCUUUUAGCUCAUCUCUUUAGUUUUGUUUUCCUUAACAGGGAAGGCGAGCCAGGACGGGAGUUUUGGAUAGACUAGCCUAGACUAGUUUCUUGGUUUUCUUUUGUAAUGGUUCUCGCCCUAGUGCUUGGCACGGGUUGGAUGUAUGAAGAAUUAAGAACCUUUAUAUAUUUGAUUAUUAUAUUUCCUUUUGAGCUAGCAAUGUAUAUAAGUUUUGCUUUAAGUUUUGGAUCGUUGUUAUGUUUAUUCUUGGUUUAUUCUGGUUUCGGUUGAGGAUUGAAGUGAACGACUGAGUUCCAGCGAGAGCUGGGCAGGCGGUCCGCUGACCCCUUCGGUUCGCCUUAGGGGAGAUGGGGCCGUCACAGUUGGUAUCAGAGCCUGGUUCGCGUGGUCUCUAUGCGGAGUGAGCUUGGGCCAAGUGGUGAAUAAGUAUGAAGGACUAAGUGAUCGUUCAAGCAUAAUGUCUUUUCUUUUAAUUCGCUCUUACAUUGCUACUGCCAUGACGUUUGUUUGAGUAAUUGUGUAUAUGCUGAUCUGUCGUAUUUGAUAUGUAUUUGUGUACUUGACCAUCUGUUUUCUUGAUAUAUGGUGUGUUAUAUAUGUAUAUGUCUAUUUGCGUAUUCGGUAUUGGGUGUAUUAGAAUUUAGUUACUUUAGUCAACUUACUGCGUUUAUUCAUUGAAUUACCUUUUGGGAAAAGAAAGAAAAUAGAGGGGAAAAAUAAUAUGGAAGGGAGACGUGGACGUGAUCGUGGUCGUGGCUGUGGAACUAAGCGAGUUCAGGAAACAAGAGAAGAAAGGGAAACAGCAGCUGAACAAGAGCAGGGACUAAGGGUUGAAGCCGGGGACCAAAUGGCAACGGCAAUUCAACAAAUGUCAAAUAUUUUUAGCAAGAUUGGUGGACCAACAAGGCCAAAUACUUGUGAAUCAACCCCAGAACCCUGAGAUAGGAGAAGAUCGGGCUCUUGAGAGGUUUCAAAAGUUUCUACCUCCGAAAUUCUAUGGAGGGUCUGAUCCAGAAGUAGCUGAAUAGUGGCUGGAGGCCAUGAUCAACAUCUUUGCAGCUUUAAAUUACACUGAGUAAAGACAAGUAAACUUUGUUGUGUUUCAAUUUGAAGGAUCGGCCCGAGCAUGGUGGAAUGUGAUUAAGGCAAAAUGGGAAAGAGAACAGACUGCAUGGACAUGAACGAAUUUUGUAAGGAAAUUUAAUGGGAAGUGUCUCCCACCUUUAGUCCAAGAAAGGAGAGAGGACGAGUUAUUGGACUCAGCCAGGAAACUUUAAGUGUGGCUGAAUAUAAAACGAAAUUUACCAAACUAUCCAAGUUUGCAUCUGAAUUAGUGGCUACGGAACAGAGAAGAGUGAGACGGUUUAUACAAGGAUUGAAUUUGGAAAUUCAAGAAGCAUUAGCGGCGGUGCAAGUGAAUACUUUUACGGAGACUCUUGAGAAAGGCAAACGAAUUGAGAAUGCAAAGGCACAGAUAAAAUCCUCCCAAACUCGGAAAAGAGGUGCAGCUGGUAGUGUGGUAGAGGAACCUAGUGAAUUGAUAGCACCUUCUAAAGUGCAGAAAGUGAACUCGUUACCCCGCCCACCAUGGACAUUAGGGGCGGUAGAUGAAGGGUCUACAAAAGGAAGCCAAAUCGGACCUAGGAAAAAUUUUCAGGAAAGCCAAAAGAUGGCUUCACACUUGGUCUGUGGAUACUGUGGAAGGGCAAAUCAUGCCGAAAGCGAUUGUUGGAGAAAAGGGCGGAAAUGUUUAAUCUGCGGAAGUGGCAAUCAUCAAGUUAGCAACUGUCCGAGGAGACAGUCACGUGAAAGCAAUACUCGCGCAACUGGAUAGAGCUAAAUCACAAGCGAAUGAAAGAGGGAAACAAACUAGUGUACCGGCAAAGGUUUAUGCCUUAGACAACCAACAAGUUUCGGACUCGUCUGAGGCAACUGAAGGUAAAAAUUUCGAUGACGAAAUUUCUUAAGGGGGAGAGAGUGUGAGAACCCAAAAUUUUUCAAAUUUUCUUAGCAUUAUUUUAUUUCUUUGCUUCCAUUUUAUAUUUUCCUUUAAUAUGUUAAUUUCCUAUAUAUUUUUAUAAGUGAAAAUAGUUUUUAAAUCAUUUUCCUAGUAUAAGUUAGUAUACGUUAAAUUUGAAAUGCAUUAUAGAUGUGGGACCCGCUAGUGCGAUAAAAUUUUGGUGAUUAAGUGAUUUUUGUGCUAAGUAUUAUUAUUUUACAAGGUGCUAGGUGAUAAUUAGGGAUUAGUUAGGAAGAUUAGUGUUGGAAGACAAUAAGAUAAGGAUUAAUCUUGGCUAACCACUUGUCUUAAAUUUAUUGGACCUUUGACUUGGACCAAGGACUUUCUUACCUCUUGAAUAAAAUCAAAAUUUGACCAACAUUUUCUUCAUUUUGAGCUUCCCUUGGCCGACCCUCUUGAGGAGAAAAACAAGGAGAGAAACUUCAAUUUCUACUUCACUUUCUAGCUUGAAUCUUGAGUUUUAGCCAACCAAAAUUGAAACUACACCAUACAAGUGCUUAUUAAGGAAGGUUGAAGGAGUUGGUGGAGUGAUUGUGAGAGAAAAGAUACUAAGCUACCAUUUUUCUUGAGUUUUCAAGGUAUUUUUUCAAGACCUUCUUCUUUACUUCAAUUAAUUGCUAAUUAGUGGUUUAAAGUUGUAGUUUUGGUAGUUAUGAGCAUAUUUCAUAGUUGGAAGUAGUAUUAUGGAAAUUCCAGGUUAGGGUUUUGAAUGCCCCUGUUCUGUCCAAUUUUAUUUGAGCAUGUUAGAGGCCGAAUCAGACUUAGGUUAAAACAUAAAAGUUGUAGAGAAUGAUAUUUUAUAUUUGCCUACAAAAUUUCAGCCCAAUCAGAGUAAUGUAGUCUAUGAAAAGAUUGAAAUACCCCUGCUGCCCCGUUUCUGUCCGAAAUUGAUAAUCGGCUUUGGUAAUUGGUUAGUUUGACUGGGAAUACUACUGAUUUGGUUGUUGAUGUCUUCUUAACAGUUAUAGCCUGGUAUCUUAGCUUUCAGAUGGCUUAGAAAUCACUUGAAUUGGAGUCGUAUGUGCUGAGAUAUGAUUGGAUCAAUCAGGACUGCUAGUUGAAUUUCACAGUGAAUUUCGAACAGGAAACUCUGGGGUUGUUUUGGUAAAUGUGACCUAGUUAGGGUGAGAACUGGACUGAGUGGUCUUCAUGAAAGUUGUAGGUAUUUGUCUUCGCUUCGAAAUAGUAUGAAUUGCACCCCAAUCCGAUAAGUGUAGUUUCAGUUAUGUCCGAUACGCUAUGUAGCGGUGAAUCUGCCUUUUUGGUUUCUUGGCUUAAAUCUCAUUUCUGGUUAUUUUCCUAGCUAAAUCUUGUACUUGAAUGAAUUUGAGUCUAUUGAACGGCUGUUGUAAUGAAUUUAUAUUGUGUAUGACUUUGGGAUUGAUUGAGGAAAAUAAUGAAGCCAUAAGUGGCUGGAAAAUGGGUAAAUACAAAGGGCGUGCUGCCCAAAUUUACACUCGAAAAUUAGGUAACGAUUUGAGAGCGAGCAUAAGUUUUCCAAAUAUUUUACUCAUGUCCUUUGGUUUACAUGUACUCUUUUCACUUUCAAAACUAUAUUUAUAUUUUGUACAAGUAAAUAUUCGGAUUUUCUUUGGUUUACCUAAAUUUUGAGGGUUUAAUUGUAAUAUUUUCUCUUGGUUAUUAUUAGGGUUUGUUUAGGUUCCUUUUCAUUUGAUUUUACCCAAAACACUUGUUAUACGUUAUUUCUUUGCAUAUGAGUUAGUUUCGGACCAAACGAAGAGCUUUACGAAUUUGAGCAACUGUCUUUUCAUAUCCGGCCGUAUUUUGACGUGACACUAUUAAUUUAUUUUCAAUGGAAUUUUCUAAAACCCUUUUGGGUAUGGUUUUGUGUUUGAUUUGGAAAAACUCCUAGUUACUAAUGUCCUCUAAUCUAAAUAUAUACUUUUCACCGCAAACCUCAUAUUUAUGUAUCGCACUAGUACGUAUUUGGAUUUUCUUUGAAUCACUUAGGUUUUGCUGGUUGAAGCGUAAUGUGUUCUUUUGAUUACUAUUAGGGUUCAUUGGUGAUUGAGGGUGUUAUCCGGAGGGAUAUUUUGGACGUUAUUUUACGUAAAGAGGUGAGUGUUCCUUGUUUGUUAUAAUGUCCUUGAUUUCAUGGCUUGUUGUUGCUGUUUGAUAAUGUGUUAAGUGCUUUCAAUGAUUUCCAAAAUAAGUUUCUAGGCGAGUGUGUACUUUAUCGCACUCGACCUAAAUAAAUGUGAAAUUUUCAAUGAUUAAAUGACUAAAUACUAGUUGCGCAUGAAUGUAAGCCGUUUGGCUGAAUUGGGCCCUUGCCCUCUGUUACUUGUCGACUCGAGCCAGAAGGGGACUUGAUCAGGCGAUUUGGUGACCUUGGGCGAAAGUUUGAUAUACUCGAGUAUUACCUUGUUGUCGGGUGGAGCCUGGCCAACGUCCAGGAGGGGGUGAAUGAAAUGAACGAAUGAAUAUCAAUGAAAAUGAGGGAUUUUACUUACAAAAUGCAUUUUCAAAUGAUUAGAGGAAUAAGGGGAAUGACAGGAGAACGAAUGAACAAACGAAUAAAUAGCUCCCUGUGAGCCCGUAUCCUUUUAAUGAAUGUGUUAUUUUCGCUUUCCAUUGUAAAUGUUUCUUGAAUUAUUGAUACUCUAUGUUUAAUAUAUUGAAUUGAUUGUUUGAUUAUGUGUUCCGAACCUCACUGAGCUUUUAGUUCAUCCCUUUAGUUUUUUUUCCUAAACAGGGAAGGCGAGCCAGGACGGGAGUUUUGGAUAGACUAGCCUAGACUAGUUUCUUGGUUUUCUUUUGUAAUGGUUCUCGCCCUAGUGCUUGGCACGGGUUGGAUGUAUGAAGAAUUGAGAACCUUUGUAUAUUCGAUGAUUGUACUUCCUUUUGAGAUAGCAAUGUAUAUAAGUUUUGCUUUAAGUUUUGGAUCGUUGUUGUGUUUAUUCUUGGUUUAUUCUGGUUUCGAUUGAGGGUUGAAAUGAACGACUGAGUCCCGGCGAGAGUUGGGCAGACGGUCCGCUGACCCCUUUGGUUAUCCUUAGGGGGAGGUGGGGCCGUCACACAUAUGGCAAUAUUCAAUUUGAUAAAAAUAAUGUAUAGACCAAUGGUAAUUUUUAGAAUUAAUUAAAAUUUCAUUGUCUUCAAUUAUAAUUUACAUUUGAAGAAUAAGUAUGGAAUUACUAUUAUGCAUGCUUAUUUUCUUUUGUAAAUUUAUUGCUUUUUUAAAAAAUUUUUACGUCUUGUUUUUCCUCAUUUUUUUCUCUUUCCAUUGUAGACUUUCAUAUAACAAGAGGUCUUGUGAUCCAGUCGACUAUGAAACCAUUGAUAAAGUUAAACUUUUAUAGUUGAUGAAGAACAAGAAGGAGAGUCUAAUUAUGAUGAGUUAGAAUAAAUGAUUGUGAGGAAGGACCCUCUCAAUCACGUAAGUUUAUAUUUGUUCAUUUAACUUUAUUUAAGUUUCUUCUUAGCUGUAGUCUAUCUUAUAAUCUUUUUAUUUAUGAGUAUUUAAAUAAUUUUUAGAUAAGGAAAAUACAAAUGUUGUGUAACUUGAUGAUGGGGAUGUUGUUGAUUAUAUCAACUUAAAAAUUUAUAAAAUUUGAGAUAAGGAUGAUGAAGAUUAAACAUGGUUUAGAUAGUCUUAAAAUGUGACAUUUCAAAGUAUUUUGAAUGAAUUUGUUGUUUUAUUCAGAUUUGUAUUUGUUAAGGAUUGAAUAUGUAUAAGAUUUUUAUUUUUUGAAUUUGGUGAGUUUGUAUAAGAUAUAGGGAUAAUUGCAAAAACCUCCCCUGAGGUUUUUGACAUUUGCACUGAGUUCCACUGUGGUUUGAAAAAUUACACGGACCUCCCCUAAGGUUACUAAUCCCUUGCAAAUUCAGUUCAAACAAUUAAAAUAUUGUAUCAAAUGUAAGUAGGCAAAAAAAUGAAAUGAUACGAUAGGUAAAAAACAACCUAUGAACCCUCCAGCCCAUGCAAGCAACGAAACCCUAACUGCCUAGGAGGCCCUUGUAGAAGAUGGCCGCUCUUUUGCUGAUGUGCUACGGAACAAGACUCCGGAGAUCCAAGGCGGCGGCAGCCACUCUCUCGCUGUUGCGCCACAAGGCCAUGCACUGGAUGCUCUAGAAGGCGGUAGCCGCUCCUUCGCUGAUGUGCCACGAGACCAGGCGGCUUUGAUCAAAGCUGUCUCCCAGUUCCAAGGGGAACCAGCGGUGCUGUUCUCAGAGGUCGACAUAGCACGGCUAGCCUCUCCGUUCGAACGCUUUCUCGUUGGGAAGUUCUCUUAUGGGCGGCCAAACCUAGACACAAUUCGCAAGGCUUUCCUUCACAUAGGCUUUAGAUCAGAUCUCAGAAUCGGUGUCCUCGACCUAUGACAUGUGCUCCUCCGUUUCUCUACAGAGGAUGACUACAUGCGUUGCUGGCUCAGAGGAUGUUGGAUGAUCUCUGGCUUCCCACUUCGCGUCUUCAAGUGGUCUCCAGAUUUCAAGCUCGACUACGAACCUUCGCAUGCUCCAGUCUGGUUUUCGUUCGAUCGGCUCCCAGUUCACUUUUUCGAUAAAUCCGCUUUGUUCUCCAUGCAAGUGUAGUGGGCACUCCUCUCAAGCUUGAUGCAGCCACGGCAACUCUCACUCGGCCAAGCGUCGCUCGUGUAUGCGUCAACUUGGACCUCCAGGGAGCUCACCCAGACCGCUUAUGGAUAGGGGUUGGCGACGGAGGUUUUUGGCAGACGGUGCAGUACGACAAUCUCCCAUCCUACUGCACUGGAUGCUGUAAACAAGGCCACGCCACCCCAGAUUGUCAGCACCGCUUGAAACGCAAGGAACAUAUCGGUGCAGCGCACUUGUCUCAGGGACCCUCAGCCGCAGAUGUUGAGCAGGCAGCGCCUGUCAAGGUGGGUCAGGACCCUGCCGCCUCCUCCCUCCCUCUAGAGCCACGCAACGAGGGCGAUGGCACAGCCAAGGGACCUGCCCAACCCGUCUCUAUCUCCCAACUAGGCGUUUCCGAUGCCCAGCAUCCAGGGAUGGGAUCUGAAGCAUCGAAGACUUCACCGUAAGAGGGCUUGAUGACGGGUUCAGACGUCUCCUCCCUUGCGUUGAAGGGGCAUCCCGACGGACACGCCGUGGCUGAGGGACAAGCUCAGGCAAGUGUUGCUGUGGAUCCAGUGUUGCCGCCCGAUUCAUUUCCCGAGCAACCUGGUGGAAAUAGCACUUGGACCAUUUCAGCUCUCGCUCGCACCUUCUCGGCUUCCAUUCCUACUGCCAUGCACGCGCGGGGCACCUGGACAACAUGAUACUCUCUCGGCACGCUAGGGAGACGAAGGACAGCCGGGCUUCCUCAGACGCAGAGGGAGAGGCAGCACGGGCUUCUAGCAUCGACCGUAGCCAGCUGACCGCAUCUCUCAAGGAGUUCAGCGCUUCCAUAAACCAGCGCCUUCCUCCGCUCUCCACGAUAAAGAUGGUUUUGUCAUUGUGGCCUCGAGAAAAUCCUGGAAAAAAGAUUCACCUACAACUCUCUCGGUAUAUCCUCACCAGGCAACCUUCUAAAGCUGCUAUUCCUUCUUCCUCUUCACUUUCCAAUGAAUAACUUCCUCAUUUGGAAUAUAAGGGGGUGGUAGGCAAAUCGUCUGUCCAUCGCCUGAAGCAUUUAGUUUGUUCUCAUAAUAUUUCCGUCCUCAUACUUCUCGAGCCGUUGGCGGACGUAGCCCAAAUAGAGGGUCUUCAUUCAAAACUCUCAUUUGAUUUCUGUUUGUUCAAUGUCUCUAACAAAAUUUGGCUUUUGUGGAGAUCUGGUUUUCACUUUGCCGUCCUACACAACUCUGAGCAAUUCCUUCAUGUCAUGAUGGCACACAACUCUUGGUCUAAUGUGGGGGUUGCCACCUUUAUCUACGCCAAAUGUACACGGGCAGAGCGUAGAUCACUGUGGUCAGACCUGGUAUCAAUGGCGGACACGGCAGGGCGACCAUAGCUGGUAGGUGAGGACUUUAACGUCAUCUCAUCGAUCACUGAAGACGUAGGGCGCUCAGUCCAGAAUCUGGGUGCGAUUACUGACUUCAAUGAAGCAAUUCAGAGUUGCUCCCUUACGGAGGUGCCCUUCUCAGGAAGCUCUUUCACGUGGACCGGGGUUAGAGCCGGUGCACGCAUGUGGAAACGGCUGGACCGUGUUCUAGUCAACCAAGCUUGGCUUGACUUUGCUGCCAACAUAACUACCCAACAUCUCAGUCGCACUGCCUCGGAUCAUUCCCCCUGCUGCUCACCAUUCGAAAGGACGGUGCUCGCGUCACCAAGGCUUUUAAAUUCCAAAAUUUCUUGCUUUCGAACGACGGCUUCCUACAGGUGGUCCGCGAUAAUUGGAGCUCCCUGUUCAAGGGUAUGGCAUGUACGCCAAGCUCAAGAGACUUAAAGGAUGCUUGAAGUAUUGGAAUAGAUAGUAGUAUGGGAAUAUCUUCCACAUGGUGCAACAGCAAGAACUGGUAGUACAACAACGAGAGGCCGAUUAUGAAGCUCAACAAACUGAUGAAACUAGAAGUGCGCUUCAUCACGUCCAAGCUCAACUCCUCUCUACCUUAAGGGAUGAAGAGGAGUUCUGGAGGCAAAAGGCGAGAAUCAAAUGGGCUAAGGAAGGAGACCGGAAUACCCGUUUUUUCCACGCCUCUGUUUGAGACAAACGGGUCAAGCUCGCCAUCCACAGAAUCAAGGACGAAACUGGGUCGUGGGUAGAUGAGGAAAACUAAAUUGCUGCAGCGGCUGAAAAGUUCUUCAGGGACUUGCUCACUGCCGAUGAACCAGUUGAGGCCGAAGAAUUGAUACAGGACAUCCCCGUCCUUGUGACUAGUGACCAAAAUAACCAAUUACUGGGAGAUGUGUCUCUUGAAGAAGUGAGACAGGUGGUAUUUGCUAUGGAUGGCAAUAGCGCUCCAGGGCUGGAUGGUUUCACUGGUACUUUUUCUCUCACUGUUGGGACAUUAUUGCUAACGAUCUCCUACAGGCAACUAGAGAUUUCUGGCGGGAACCCCAAUCCCGAAGGGCAUCAGCAGCACCCUCAUAGUUCUGAUCCCGAAGAAGCCGAACCCCUCAUCUUUUCGGAUUUUCAGCCCAUUAGCUUGUGCACCUUCGUUAACAAGGUCUUCACCAAGGUCCUCGCUAACAGAUUGAAAAUUCUUCUUCCGAGACUUAUCUCGCCAGAGCAAUCUGCUUUCGUCCCAGGUCGGGACAUAGCAGAAAACAUUCUCCUAACACAAGAGCUAGUUGGAUCCCUUAACAAAAGGGCGUGUGGCCACAACUGCAUUCUCAAACUCGAUAUGAUGAAGGCAUUUGACAGGGUCUCUUGGGCUUUCCUCGAGCAGUUCUUAGGGAAGUUCGGCUUUCACCCCUGCUUUAUUCGUCUCAUCACCAAUAACCUCUCCCAGAGUUGGUUCUCGGUUUUGGUGAACGGCAGCCCCAAAGGAUUCUUUCAGGUAUCCCGGGGGCUCAAACAAGGGGAUCCCCUCUCUCCACUACUGUUCAUUCUUGUCUCUGAGGCCUUGAGCCAGGGGUUGACAAGGCUAGUUCAAGAGGGCAGCAUCACCCCUUUCGCUUUGCCACGGGGUUGCUUUCCUAUCACACAUCUCUCUCUUUUGCAGACGACGUUAUUGUCUUCACAAGGGGUGAUCGUCGCUCCUUGACACGCCUGAUGGAUUUCUUGGACACCUUUUAGCACGGAUCGGGUCAGAAAAUCAACAAGCAAAAAAGUUUCUUCAUUACCCCCACGCGUUGCGGAGUAGCCCCUAUUCACCGGAUCCAGCCCAUCACUAACUUCAGGCACGGAUCGCUUCCAUUUCUGUACCUUGGCUGCAAUCUUUACAAUGGCCGCCGAAAGAUGGAAUAUUUCCAAUACCUUAUAGAGAAGCUGGCGUCUAAGGUUGCGAGAUGGAAGAAGAAACUCCUCUCCCCAGGAGGGCAUCUAAUCCUCAUCCAGCAUGUCCUCUCCUCCAUGCCUCAGUAUGUGUUGGCAGUCAUGGACCCCCCUGCAACUGUGCUUAGGAAUUUCGACAAGAUUAUGGCUGACUUUUUUUGGGGCGAGUCGGAUGGGGGCCCUCGGCGCCAUUGGCGGGCCUGGCAGGAUUUGUGUUACCCCACGGCUGCGGAUGGUCUGGGUUUGCGGAGUUUCCACAAUGUGCAAACGACAUUUAGUUGCACGCUAUGGUGGAGAUAUCGGAGUGCAGAAACGCUGUGGGCUAGCUUCAUGCACGCUAAGUACGACUCGGGCCAGAUGUGCAGCGCCUCUUCCAGGGUGUGGAGAAGGAUGCUCACGGUGCGGUCCACUGUUGACGGUCUCUCCGAGGAUCUGGACCCCCAGGAAGGGAAAUGAGUCUGGUCUCUCACGGCCUCCGGGAGCUUUACCACCUCCUCAACCUAUGAAGCAACCAGGAGGGCGCGGGCGAGCCUGCUAUCUAGAGAGUUAAUUUGGGACUGGCGCCUCUCCUGCAGGGUGCCCAUCUUUAUGUGGAAGAUGCUGAACGAAUACCUUCCCUUCCCCGAAAACCUACACAAGAUAGGUUUCCAGCUCCCUUCUAAGUGCCUUUUCUGCCCCAGUGAGGAAUCACGUGACCACGUGAUAUCGGAUUGCUGGUUUGCAUCGGCAAUAUGGGGGUUCUUCGCCCAUGCCCUCGGCCUCUCGAGGUUUUCCUCGAAGGGCAUCCUAAUGAGACUGCAAUACUGGUGGUCCUCUGCUUCAUUCAACUCAGCCAAGGGAUCGGUGCUCAUACUUUUGCCAUCUCUUAUUUGCUGGGAAGUUUGGAAGGUCCGGUGUCGCAUGUUCCAUAAUGGUGGCAAUGCCUGUCCAUCGCAAGUUUGUCGCCAAAUUCAGCUGAAUGCCUUAUCCAUCUCACAUGUAUUCCCUUUCGAGCAGGCCACCCUGGAGGACUUGAGACUCAUGUCUCUGGGGUUGGUUUCUCGCCUCUCCCGGUCUAAGCCAAAAGUUCCUGUCUCAAUACUGUGGAAAUGGCCGUCUCCAGGCACAGUCAAACUCAACGUGGAUGGCUCGUUCUUAGGGAACCCGGGCCCCUCUGGUGGCGGUGGAGUGGUUCGGAGCCCAUCCGACGACGUUUUGUUUGGCUUUGCAAUGUCAUUUGGAAUUAAAACAAACAUGGAGGCUGAAGCCCUAGCCCUUCUGGAGGGGAUAAAACUUUGCAAAGAGCGAGGCCACACCGCAGUCAACAUUGAAAUAGAUUCGAAAACCCUAGCGCUCAUGUUGCAGGGCAAGUCCCAAGUCCUCUGGAGAUUAUGGCGAUCCCUCUCUCAUAUCAGACAACUGGCCCAGGGCAAGCAGUUCACCUUUAGCCACAUCUUCCGGGAGGCCAACGCGGUGGCUGAUGCCCUUGUAACCCUCGCAAGCUCAUCUCAGUGCUCCUCGAUCCUCUCACCGACGCAAUUCUCCAAGAACAUCAUAGGUCUAGUCGCGUUAGAUAGACCCCAACUCCCUUAUAUUAGGAUGGUUCGUCCCCAACAAUGUAUUCAGGGGUAACCCCCCUUCCUCCCCCCAUUGUACUCCCCUGUUCUCACAGCAUAAUAAAAUCUCCAUUCUGAAAAAAAAUAAUUCAAAUAUUAUUUUAGGGAAUGAAAUUAGAAUUUUUUACCAAAUUUGUCCUUUGUAUUACAUGUCCAAUGAAUGACAAAAUACUACAAAUCAAUUAACAAUUAAUAAACUUUAAGGAGUAUAGUUUAUAGGCAAAUACGUAUUACCUAUUUAAAGUACCGACUCUUUAUGGGUAUUAUACUUUCAAACAUUUAAUUUAAUACAAAUAUUUACGCUCGAAUACAUAUUUGUAUUUACUUUCAAAUAUUUAAUUUUUGUUAAAUACAAAAACUAUCAAUCUCUCUUCCGUAAAAAUAUUAAUAUAACACUUUUUCAAUUUUAGUUACAACCAUUUAUGUAUUUAACAUAAAUUAAAUGAUUCAAAAUAAAAUACUCAUAAAGAGACAAUACUUUACUCAUAUAAUGGAUGAAAGCCAUAAAGAAUUAAUACUUUAUGGGCCAUUUCUUUUUUUUUUAAAAUUUUAAUUUAUAUUAAAUAAAUAACCUACCGUUUUCCUUUUUGCAAGAAUAUUACUGUAACACUUUUUGAAUUUUACUUACAAACAUUGAUAUAUUUAUCAUAAAUUAAAUGUUUGAAAAUAAAAUAUCCGUAAAAAUCCGGUACUUUAAAUGAGCAAUGCGUGUUUGCCUAUAAAGAGCCGGUACAAAAUUCUAAUUUUAGGGAGUAAAAUUAGAAUUUUGCACCAGAUUUGCCCUCUGUGUUAUAUCUCCAAUGAAUGACAAAGUACUGUAAAUCAAUUAAUAAUUAAUAAACUUUAAGAAGUAUAAUUUAUGGACAAACAUGCAUUAUUCAUUUAAAGUACCGGCUCUUUACGAGUAUUUUACUUUCAAAUAUUUAAUUUAUAAUAAAUAUUUAAUUUAUGAUAAAUAUAUCAAUAUUUGUAAGUAAAAUUCAAAAAUUGUUAUAGUAAUAUUCUUGUAAAAAGAAAUCGAUAAGUUAUUUAUUUAAUAAAAACUAAAUAUUUUUUUAAAAAAAUAAAUGGCCCAUAAAGUAUUAAUUUUUAUGGCUUUCAUCCACUACAUGAGUAAAGUAUUCGCUCUUUAUGUGCAUUUUAUUCUGAAUCAUUUAAUUUAUGUUAAAUACAUAAAUGUUUGUAACUAAAAUUGAAAAAGUGUUAUAUUAAUAUUUUUACGGAAGAGAGAUUGGUAAGUUUUGUAUUUAACAAAAAUUAAAUAUUUGAAAAUAAAUACAAAUUUGUAUUUGAGCGUAAAUAUUUGUAUUAAAUUAAAUAUUUGAAAGUAAAAUACCCUUAAAGAACUGGUACUUUAAAUAGUUACCGGCUCUUUAUAGGCAAACACGCAUUACUCAUUUAAAGUACUAGUUUUUACGAAUAUUUUACUUUCAUACAUUUAAUUUAUGAUAAAUAUAUCAAUGUUUGUAACUAAAUUUAAAAAGUGUUACAAUAUUAUUUUUGUAAAAAGGAAAUCAGUAGGUUAUUUAUUUAAUAUAAAUUAAAUAUUUUUUGAAAAAAGAAAUGGACCAUAAAGUAUUAAUUCUUUAUGGUUUUCAUCCAUUACAUGAGUAAAGUAUUGGUUCUUUAUGGGUAUUUUAUUCUGAAUCAUUUAAUUUAUGUUAAAUACAUAAAUGUUUGUAAUUAAAAUUGAAAAAGUGUUAUAUUAAUAUUUUUACGGAAGAGAGAUUGGUAGUUUUUGUAUUUAACAAAAAUUAAAUAUUUGAAAGUAAAUACAAAUAUGUAUUUGAGUGUAAAUAUUUGUAUUAAAUAAAUGUUUGAAUUAAAAUACCCAUAAAGAGCCGGUACUUUAAAUAGAUAAUGCGUAUUUGCCUAUAAACUAUACUCCUUAAAGUUUAUUAAUUGUUAAUUGAUUUGUAGUAUUUUGUCAUUCAUUGGACAUGUAGUACAAAAGACAAAUUUGGUAAAAAAUUCUAAUUUUACUCCCUAAAACAAUAUUUUAAUCCUUUGGACUAAAUUUGCAAAGGAUUAGUAACCUCAGGGGAGGUCAGUGUAAUUUUUCAAACCACAGGGGAGGUCAGUGCAAAUGUCAGAAACCUCAGGGGGUUUCUGCAAUUAUCCCAUAUUUUAAUCAUUUGGACUAAAUUUGCAAAGGAUUAGUAAUCUCAGGGGAGGUCAGUGUAAUUUUUCAAACUACAGGCGAGGUCAGUGCAAAUGUCAAAAAUCUCAGGGGAGGUUUCUGCAAUUAUCCCUAAGAUAUAUAUUCUAGUCUGAAAAUAUAGACAAAAACCAUUAGUGAAGCCAUCAAAGGUCGAAAAUCACGGAUAGUUCUCAACUUCGUCAAAGCAUACAAACUCAAACUGAUAUGGCGGUGUCGGACACGUGGGGGACUUAUGAGAAAACCUGUUGGCAGUAGAGGACGAGACAAUAAUGAUUGUGACGAUUGGAAGUAGGAGGGCUUGGAAUUAGGGUGGAAAAACGUCACGGAUGAUGCCGUGGUGAAGCAUGGAGAAGGGUUGACGGCGUAGGUAGAAGGGAAGCGGAAAAAUUUGUAUGUCGACGGCAUUGAAUGUUAAAGGUUAAUUUUGUCAUUUUCUAUUAUAAAAUUUUUAUGAUUGCAAAAGUUGCUUCAUCAUUUUUUAAAUUAGUUUCUUGCUUUUACGUCAAAAUGCUUGUUUAUUCCCUCGCAUUUUUACAAAAAAAAAAAAAAAAUGUGCUCCUCACCUUUAAAAUGAAGCAAUUAGUCCCUCAAAUUCUAAAAAUGAAACAAAUUAGUCUCAAAAUAAUAACCUGAUAUAAAUUUUAGAGAUAAAACUAAAACGUUACUGUAGUUUCUUCCAGAUCUAGCUACACUUGAUAUGCACGUGAAAUUAAAUCAAAAUUUUCUUAUAUUGGUUUCAUAUCAUGUGCAUAUCAAAUGUAGUUAGAUUUGGAAGAAACUAAAGUAAUGCUUCAAUUUUACCUUAAAAUCUAUAUUAGGUUGUCAUUCUAGGGCUAAUUUGCUUCAUUUUUCAAAAUAUUAUGGAUAGCUUUGCUUCGUUUUAAAAGUGAAUGACAAAAAAUUCAAAUUGUAAUAGCCCCACCUUUCCCUAAGGCGAAUCAAAAGAUUCGGCGGACCGCCUGCCCAACUCUCGCCAGGACUACGGAAACAAAUCGCAUAAAACCCUACGUAAAGCGCGAUAUAACCAAAAAAAACAAACAAUCGGAGACAGCCAGGCCAAAAUAUAACUUACUAAACCAUAUGGUGAAAUGAGACAUCGAUUAAACACUUCAAUGAAAAGGAAGAUGGAAACGAAAACGAAACGAAAAAUGGUCCAUGUCACAAUCCGGCCAGAUUAACAACCGGAUUCAAGGUAGUAGCUAAUCCGAACUUUUUCAACUUGCCCUGCCAAUCCGGCCAAGUAUCUGGCCAAGAACUGGCCGGAUAUGCGGCCGGAUUCUCAGCAAGAGUUUCCCGCCAUAAUUUUUUUCUUUUCUCGUUCAAAGUCCGUACACGUCCGAUCUUUCCAACGGUUACAAUUAAAGUUCAUACAACCAUACAUACAUGCAUUUCCCAAUGAAUAUACAUAACUAUACUCUUUCCAACAUAUAUACAAUAGUGUCUUCAACAAGUUACUUGAAGUACAAGUCAAAAUAUCCGUAUUUAUACAAAACACACAUAGGGUUUUCUAGGAGCUUAACAAAAGAUCGAUUACUCUAGCCCGACCUCCUUUUCUUCCAAAUCAUGGUUUCAAAGUUUGUCCCUGUAAGAAAAACAAAA
Molecule: long non-coding RNA, 31822 nt
Filed under: Coffea arabica (coffee)
Lineage: Eukaryota; Viridiplantae; Streptophyta; Magnoliopsida; Gentianales; Rubiaceae
Description: long non-coding RNA (CARA_LNC002318)
Source: RNAcentral